Long non-coding RNA from Nematolebias whitei (Rio pearlfish), 245 nucleotides. RefSeq lists it as uncharacterized. The record is from RefSeq and is a predicted model, not a curated record. The transcript has 3 exons. NCBI's taxonomy places the organism in Eukaryota, Metazoa, Chordata, Actinopteri, Cyprinodontiformes, Rivulidae.
UGGGACACAAUGUCUCUUGUGUUCCUGUCUUUCCUUCUUAUUUUGCUGCUUGGGAUUGUGUUAUGCAUCGCUUUCAGGUGGUUGGUCUGUACCUUGGUGGUGCGGCUCUUCCAGACUGCACUGAAUGCAGACCUUAAGAUCAAAUCAGUUGGACUGUUCUCAGUCCAGGGAGUUAGUAUCCAGUUUUACCCCCAACACACACUGGAAAUUGACCGAAUAUGGAUUUCAAGUAAACUUCUCAACCA